GAUGAAGAACGUAACGAAAUGCGAUAAGUAGUGUGAAUUGCAGAAUUCAGUGAAUCAUCGAAUCUUUGAACGCACAUUGCGCCCUUUGGUAUUCCAAAGGUCAUGCCUGUUCGAGCGUCAUUUGUACCCUCAAGCUUUGCUUGGUGUUGGGCGUCUUGUCUCUAGCUUUGCUGGAGACUCGCCUUAAAGUAAUUGGCAGCCGGCCUACUGGUUUCGGAGCGCAGCACAAGUCGCACUCUCUAUCAGCAAAGGUCUAGCAUCCAUUAAGCCUUUUUUUCAACUUUUGACCUCGGAUCAGGUAGGGAUACCCGCUGAACUUAAGCAUAUCAAUAAGCGGAGGA
Molecule: unclassified non-coding RNA, 341 nt
Filed under: soil metagenome
Description: partial contains 5.8S ribosomal RNA, internal transcribed spacer 2, and large subunit ribosomal RNA
Rfam family: 5.8S ribosomal RNA (bases 1-120)
Source: RNAcentral